Molecule: non-coding RNA, 26 nt
Filed under: Mus musculus (house mouse)
Lineage: Eukaryota; Metazoa; Chordata; Mammalia; Rodentia; Muridae
Source: RNAcentral
UGAUACAUAUGCAGCUAGAGUCAAGA